RNAcentral lists this unclassified non-coding RNA (154 nucleotides) under uncultured Sordariales. RNAcentral describes it as "sequence contains ITS2". The record is from RNAcentral. Lineage: Eukaryota; Fungi; Ascomycota; Sordariomycetes; Sordariales.
CAACCAUCAAGCCCCGCUUGUGUUGGGGACCUGCGGCUGCCCGCAGGCCCUGAAAACCAGUGGCGGGCUCGCUAGCAACACCGAGCGCAGUAGCAACAUUACGCUCAGGUCGUGCGGCGGGUUCCGGCCGUUAAAAGAAGCAAUUCUUUCCACA